Chinchilla lanigera (long-tailed chinchilla) is the source of this 4990-nucleotide RNA transcript. It is a transcript of the gene named basic salivary proline-rich protein 3-like, with no coding region annotated. NCBI's taxonomy places the organism in Eukaryota, Metazoa, Chordata, Mammalia, Rodentia, Chinchillidae. The transcript has 2 exons. The record is from RefSeq and is a predicted model, not a curated record.
UAUUUUUUAUUCUCUCUAAAAUAAAAUAAACAAACAAAUAAAUAAGUAAGUAGUGUUUUAGGAUCACACAUUUAGACCUAUAAAUAACGCUGGUCCCAAAAGGAAGCAACCCAAACAGCCUGUGUACUUUGUCUAGUUCGACCUCACCGUGUCUGCGGAAUCGCUACCUUGGUUCCACUGAAUGGCCUGUGUGCGAAAACAUUAACUCUCCUGACUCAAGGAUCUCUUUCCUUCUUCUCCCCAUCUCAUCUCAUGUUAUUAUGCUGCUUUCCUUAACACUAAGGGCAUAACAGCAUUAGUAAACGACAUCCAGCCGUUCCUCACCUGGUCAGCGUUUCCCAUUUCUACAAAAAUGAAGUUGCUCUUAACCUUGUCUGAAUUUCUGUGAUUAAAGAUAGGAAGGAUAAUUAUGUUUCUAUCUGAAUUACUUAAUUUCACUAAGCUCCAAGUCUUAAAGCUGUUGGAGGUGGCAAAAACUUUAUUAUUUCUUACUAUUAACCAUUAUUGGUAUAUUAGAAUAUCAGCUGAAAAAAUCAAAUUCUACGACAAACUGGAAGGAAAGUUCUAUCAGACUGUAAGGAGCAGUGCGUUAAAUAGAGAAUAAUUGUUUUCAGCCCUGAAAACAAUGAGCAGCAAAAGAUUAAAUCACUGUUUUCACACAGGUGACUUUCAUAGUAAUUGGGGAAAAAAAAAGCCAAAAUGUAAAAAUCUGCAGCCAUAUAAUCUCUCAGGCUUACUAUCAGACAUUCUAGUAUGUGGAUUCCUUCUGGAAAUGGAGCCCUGAGUUGAGCUUAUUUCAUAGAAUAAUACACUUUGUUCUCAAAGUCGUCCCUGCAUUUCCCAGGGGAUUAAGUUUCAGAUCAGAUGCGGCCGUAACAGGCAGACAGGGAGAGAGCCCUUGGUCGCUGGUGAGGAAUCCAGUGCCCGGAGCAUAUCUUAGGUCGCCCUUCCUUCCUUUCAAAACACUCCUUAGCCAUACAUUUAGUCCCCUGAUUAGGUGAGGAUUCCUAACCUCCAGAUAACAAGAGGCAGGCAUAACCUGUUCCUUAGACUAUAGCGAAACAUGCCUGAGCCCACGGACUGUCUGACUCUCAAAUUUUGACCACUCUUUUCUGAAGCUGAGCUUCAGCUCUUCAGUUAGAAGUCAGAUAGGCAAAAAGAGAACUACAAAACUCAAUCACAAGUGUGUCUAUGUAUGAUCCAGGACAGACCUUUGCUCAGUUGUUUCCCAAACCUUAAAUGUGAAUUCUUCUUCAUGCCGUUACUGUUGGACUUGGUUCCCCUGGAGAAAAGAACAAAUGGUAAACCCUGAAAGGACCGGGCUUUUACCUGAUCCUGGUUUUCUUCUUGAUCCUGAUUUUCUUCAUCAUCAUGAAGGCUAUUGUUUGUUUGAACAAAGAGAAACAGGAGCCAUAGCUGUUUACAUUGUACAAAUGAGGGCACAGAUGGGAGGGGAGAGGACCUCUGCGUAAUGAGCAGAGACCGAUUCUCAGGCCCUGCCACCAGCACAGACAAAAGGAGACACCCGUCUCCUACCUUCUUUCCCUGCAUAAGGCACUGUAUUCGUCAUCUCUUAAACAACAGCUUCAUACGCCAGGGAGCUCCAGGCUUCUGUUAGGUUGUAGAUUAAAGAAGCAAUGGGAGUCUGACUUUUAAAGCACAAACUAAAACUCAGAACUCAGAUCACGCACCCACAGUGGUGCCACAGUUGCUACAUUAUCUUGUAGCAACUGAACAAGUCUAAAUCAAGUAUCCAAAGCUCUUGGGCAUAUUUGUCAUGGGGGUAUCUCACACUCAAUUCACCCUUGAAAUUUGGCCUCUUAGAAAGUGGCAGCCUCUUCUUACACAAAACAGGUUUCAAUCAGUAUUUAGAGAGCAAAUGAAUGAAAGAAUUUGCUUGAAUUAAAUUAAUGAAUUAAUUAGGCUUUUGUACUGAGCAGAAUCCACUUUCAUUUUAAUGAUUCAAAAUCGGGCUGCAAGAAUCCUUCUGAAACCUCAGAGCCAGUUUCCUAGGGUUUCGAACGCCCUCGGGGCACCUCCAAUCUAAGGAAGCAGCAGACUUAAGCUUCACACUCUAGUCAAGAGUAUGUUUAGUAAAGAAAAAAAAGCCAUCUGUAUGAGUACCAAACAAUGCUAUCAUGUGACAGAAUUUCUCCUGCCACCCACUGACUUGACACCAGAUCAGAUCACGUGAUUGUUUUAAAUCUAAAGGAUAAGUUACAUGUGUCAGGUUUUUUUAAUUUUAGGGAAAUAAAAGCAAAAAUGAAAGACAGAAUAGUUGCAAAUGCAGGUUCAAUAUGAGCCACAGUUCAACAUUCUAGUAUGUUAUUAAUUGUUUUCAAUGUACUAGAUCCUCAAAGCAUAAAAUGCAGGCAGCAUUUGUCAAUGAGAGGUUUUGCUAUUGCUUCCUGAACUAGCAAGGGAGUCUGGACUAAUUCGAUUCACGUGGGAAUUGGUGUUUACCGUCUAAGUCCUAAUGGAAAAGCACAUAAUUUCAAGCUGUAAAAAUAAAUAUGUAUGCACGCUGCCACCAAGCAGUGGCACCUUGCUGUAUUUUUCUUUUGAGAACAAGCCACUUUUCAAAGGGCUAUUUUCUUUCAUGUGGAAAUAUUUAUUUGCCAGCUUCCAUGGAACCGGUGUGAUGCACUAAAGCACCUUCUGUUUAGACUUUCACAAGAAAAUUGCUUCUGCACACAUUGUCUUGAGACCAUAGGUUCUGUUUUGUCUCUGUGCGUUCUGACAUUCAUCUUUUGUUUUUGUUUUAGCAGAAGAGCCUUUCAUUUAUGGUUUCUAGAAAGCCAGGUGCAUUGCAGUAUCUCUUAGGCACAAUCCUUGUUUCCCGUGAGUGUGUUGUUUAAUUGCUGAGCACCUACAACGUGCCUGACGCUGCAGCGGGCAGCUGCUCUCCAGCAGGCUGCAGGCAGGCCAGUCUCUUGCAGAAGCCUUGGGCCCUAGAUCCCCAUCUUCCAGACCACCUCCUCAUUUCUCACGAUGCACACAGUUCAGUCCUUCGGAGAGUGAAAAGUCCCCUUUGUGAGUCCAAAGGCCCUUGCUACCAGUCAAGAAGAGCAAGUUCCCAGGAUUCUGGUUUCAAGCCACUCUGGGCGAACAAUGGGGGAAGGCUCUCGCAGUAUUUGUCUUGCACCAGCUUACAAAUGUGCUUAGGUUGCAUUUAGGUGGUGUAUUUUUAAAAGUGAAAAAUCUGGCGUUUUGCAUUUAAUCCCAACUAAAGCUUUUUGAUAUAUUAAAAGGUCUUUCAAUCGCCAAGGCCUUGCAGCUUAGAUAUCAUCUUUGGAAAGGUUAAAUGAGUCGAUUUUCUGAAGCUUUUGUCAGCACAAGCAUGUAAGUUGGUCCUGCUGGAAAAAAGGGGGGGCAGCGCCGUCCAACCCUCUCUUCCGUCUCCGAGAAGCCUGUCUUCGGAGAGAAAGCCGCCACCACAGGGCUACGUACACUUUCAUUUAAGCAUUUAAUUUAGGCGAGGGAGGCCGGACGAUGUCUGUCGGCCCGGCUGCAGCCUCACAGAUUUCAGCAGGCAGCGCCAGGCAGAGCGCAGCCCUGGGCCGGGGCUGCCGGGAGGGGGCGCGCCCACGCGCACGGCGAAGACAAAGACCCGCGGCCAGGGCUUGCGAGGCCGGGGGCGGCUCCGGAGAGGCUGCGGGUAGAACCCGAGGUCCGACAGCAAGCGAGGAAGGCAGGACCUCUCCUUUCCACCUCCACAGAGAACGCCCAACACGCAGGAAGAAGAGGCUGGCUGCGGCGGCGCCUCUCUGGGGGCGGGAGUGCGUCUUCCUGGCAGCGCUCCCGCCCCGCACUCUCCGGAGACGCCCGAGCCGAGACCCCGCACUCGAGUGGCUGCGGUGGCAGCGGCCUGGCCCCGGGCUGGCGCGCGCUGUCGGGAGCCCGCUGUCUCCUGCGCCGCGCGGGGCCCACCGGCUCGCAGCCCCCCUCGGCCUCUCCUUUCGUCCUACUUCCUCGCCUCCACGGCCCGCCCCGCCCGGCCGCACAAUCGGUGACCUCAUUCCAACUGCUGCAGGCCUGGUGAAACUGCAGCCCAGGCCGGGGCGACCCGGCCAGUCUGCCUCGGAAACGCCAUCCGUGCGCCCCCGCGCGCACAGGCCACUCCCUCGCGCUCGGGCUCCGAGUGUCACAAAGCCCGAGGCGGGCGCUCUCGCGCAGGGCAUGUGUCUGUUAGCCCCGGCACUGCAGCGCCGCGGCCCUUCGCCGCAAGUCCUCCUGCCCCUGCAGCUACCUGCAGCCUGGUGCCGGGGUUAGAUGUGGCCCCCACAGCACUGCUGGACCCGCUGGGCGACUGCCUGCGGGGAACCUGAAAGAAACACAAGACCUGACUGUUGUAAACAAGCCUAGCAUUGCGAGGAUCCCGGGACCUUCAAGAGGAGAAACAAAAUGUAUCAGCCAUGGGUGAAGAAGGGGGCGCGAGGUCCCAGCCCUUCUCUCAGCCUUGGGACCUUCCCACCCUGGAUUCCAACCCCGGGUUCUUGGAAGCACUGCAGGGAGCCCUGGAGUCCUGGUCCGACCCUCUUUGGGGCUUUACUCUUAGCAGUAAAUUCCAGGCCUUGUGUGCACUCCCCACACAGUCAGCCCCAAGCAGGACUCAGUUUACCUGCUGGGCUCCCACAUUUGACCUCUGUUUCCACAAGGCUCUCAACCUACAGCCCUUUGACCUCUCUCCACUCCUACUUUGGCAGUUGCCAGUGUUGGGGGACUCAUUCAGACACGGACUGACCAGCCGCUGUGUGGAUUGAACACUGGACAGAACCUGGAGGCAUGUGGUCUGCUGGGCAGAGACCCUCAGUGACUCAUCACCUGCCUUAGCCGCCCUCAGGGAGGGUAGUGAGCCAGACAGGGUCGCAAGAGGGAUGAGCCCUUUCUCCCAGAGCUGAGCUAACAGCACAGGCCUGCAAGCCUUCACCCCCUUGUUCGCACACACACAUUGGCGCCUCUGGUUUUCUGCCAUGUCCUACCUCGGUCU